GAGCGGCGGCCAACGGCCAGUGCGCAGCGGCCGCUGGAACGCAGCCCUGACUUCCGCAGGCACGGAUUCCUCAGGUGCGACAGCACGUCAGAAGAGGGCAGGAUGCGGAUCUGCGGACAAGGCUUUGGGGAGAGGGUCUGGAUCAGCGCCUACUUCCAACCAGCCUCUUUUGCCCCCACACAAGCGAGUUUUCCUCUCUCAGACCCGGGAAUCCAAAGGUCGGGGGAAAGAAUCUGAGGCGACUGGCAGGAGUCCGUUGGUUUUUCCCGUGGGUGAGUCCAGCCUCAAGGACUGGGCCAGGAGAGACUGCCGUGGGAAAGGGCAUUCCUUCCAGAGUCCUCAAGGAGGAUGGGCAGACGAGUUGGUCAUUCAAAACCAAAGCUUAGCCUGCAGACCACUUUGGACUCUGCAAGGGGACCCCCAAGACCUCAGCCAGCCUCCGGCUUCCCGACACGCAGAUCACGCAACAGAGACGCGGAGACGAGACGCGCACAGAGAUAAGCACCGCGGAGCUGCCUCGGAAGAUGCGACGGCAGCAGCCGGCCGCUCCCAGAGACACACACAGACAGCACGUCCUCUGCCGACCUCGACACCUCGCGCUUUAUUUCUGGUGCCAAUGCAGGAGCGGAGGACAGACACACUGGACGAAACGCGGAGGUCUCCAUCCAGAAGUGGGGGCUGUGCGCGCACCUCUGCCCGGAAGCGGGGCUGGGCGCCAGAGCAGGCGGUCUGCUGGCCAGAGGCGUUUUGGCUAUAGCACACGGCAUGUGGGCCCUGAGCCCCCACCCAGAGACUGAAUCUGCACCCCAGGCGCUGCAAGGCGGAGUCUUAACCACGGGGCCAACGGGGAGUUCCGAGGCCAUCUUGGAGAAUAACUUGGCAAACUGUAUUAAAACUUGACAUGGACCCCACAAGUCAUAUGACCCUGCAGUUUUACUUUCCAAGUAAGAAAUUUCAGUUCGGUAAUAAUACUUUUGAAAGAAAUUUGGGCUCUGCUGAAAGGAGAUAUCAUCUGUGUGAAAACGGCUUAAUUAGAAAACUGUCCACGCGAAAUUGGACGGAGACGGCGCCACACUGCACCUCCGGGACUCUCCCACAGCAUCAGAUGGCGCGCGUCACGCUGGCACGCGACUCUGGGUAACACUCGACCACUGGUCCAGUCACCACGUCACUGUGGACCCGUGGCGAGUGUGCCCUGACUUACGGGUGAGAGAGCGGAGGAGGUCUUUAGAAGUGACAGCUGCCUUCUGCAUAAGGUUCCCAUUCUCACUCUUACCAACGUUUCCGCACAUUUCAUUCACCUCAAGACAGAACAAGUUCAUGCUGUCUCCUUUCCGGCACGCGAGGAGUUAAAAAAGGUCGAGCAACUUGACCAGAAUGACAUUUUAGUUAGUAAUUAGUAAUGAGCUAAAGCUAUAAUAGGAUCUUACUUAAUUCCUAACUCAGUUGUUUCUCUAUCUGCCCAAAUCCCUAGGGAGUGGUUUGCGUUUGGAGGAGACUCAAGAGGCCUAGGCCUGGACACACAGCCCCAGGUCCGUGGCCGUUUAGCCGCUUGCUGGGCGCUGGCCAUAGGCAGGAAAGCAGUAUGGUCUGUAUAAUGCCUCGCCCGGCCUGUUAGGAGACCCUAAAAAUCUCAGUGGCCGUGUAUCUGACUCUGUCUCCACUCUGUGAGGUGGGCCAGCCUGGCCUCGGUUGAGCAGGGUCCGGGGUGGGCUCACCUUGAUGCCGUCCUUGGCCCCUUCCUGUAGGUAGGGGAUGAUGGAAUUGUUCCACAGGUCGAUGAACCAGGUCCGGAAAUCCUCGAUGCCGAUGGGGCAAGACAGAAAGAAGCAGGGACCUGGCGAGAGAAGAGGGCCGGGGAGAUGGCCUAGAACCUCACUCUCCCUGGCCGUCUGCCCCGCCGACUCCCUAAUGCCAGGCAGAAGGCCCUGGAACUAGAGGGUGAGAGAGGCACAGGGCGGGGCUGAACUGCGAUCGCGGUCAAGACAGUGGGAGCUGACAGCCUGGGGCAGCCUCAGGAGCGAUGCUUCUCCAGGUGGACGGGAGGCGGGGGAGCCAGGGGCAGCGCUAACCUCCCCUAACACCUCCCCUGCGUCUUCUCAGUGAGUCUGGGGAGUGUGGGUGAGCUCUGAGCUCUGACAGCUGACGCAGGCAGGGGCACCACACUGGGUGCCUACUCAGUGACCCGCGGCUCUAAGGCUGCAGGCGUGGGGCCAGUGAGCCCUCCACACGCUGAAGACGCGGGGGGGAGAGGGGCCCCCACCAGCCCCGCCCGGGGGGCGCAGGCCGCACCGAUGAGGAAGUCCGAGGUGCUGUGCUUCUCCAGGAAGGUGUGCAGGUGGUACCACAGCUUGGGCACCCAGUCCAGCACCCGCAGCAGCUCCUCCCUGUUGGCGUUGAGGUCGCUGUCCGACUCCACCAGCUUCCUCCUCAGGUAGCGGACCAGGAAGCCGUUGGCGGGCUCCACAUUGUUGGAGAAGGUCAGCAUCCUGUGGCCAGGGACACAGAGGGCCGGGGGUGGGUGGGCACUGCACGAGGGCAGGUCGACUCCGCUCCCACCCAGCCCGAGCUGCCUGCCUCCCACUGACGCCUGCGGGUCUGCUGAACCCAGGGCCGAGGCAGAGCGGGCACUCAGAUCAGUGACCCCCUCAGGUGACCCUCGGACCCCACUGGCCUGGACACGGGGUGUGUGGGCAGAGGCUGCCCCCUGCUCCUCUCCUCCCGCUGUCCCUCCGGCCAGAUCCUGGACUGAACCGGUUUACAGACUCGGGCCAUAGGUCUUACCUGAAGCUCAGGUGCAAGCCGUGAUUGGGCGUCAUUUUUACUGGUUGAUUAGUGGUACCAAUAAUAUAAGGACUGCAGGAAGACAGAGGAAGACGACCGGUUAGACCUGUCUGAACACUCGAUUUCUGCCGUGUGCUACCCCCCACCCCGUGGAACGCUCACAGCUUGGGGUGAACUGGGCUCCCUUCUGCCCGCUGUGGUGAGUCUGGUCCUGACUCCAGCUCACCAUUUGUGAUACUUGCACGUCAGGGCCCCAUUGACCAGCUCACUGAUGGAGCCUGCCUCACUCAGGUCAUCCAGUAGGAUCACCAGGGGGACGUCCCCAAUUCCUGUUUCCCGGUCUAUCUGAUUGGCCAGGUUGGAGAGAUACAGCUGCAGGUCCUGAAAUGAAAGAAGCGGGCGGUCAGCACUCAGGAGCAGCGAGCCCCUGGACCAGCCUAGCAGAAGAGGGUUUCGGAGGAGCUAGGCUGGUUCUGGAUCCCGGGAGGGGCCUUGGUCCCUGUGAGGUGUGCCUGGACCGGUGACUGCAGAAGCCUGCCACCCCAGCCUGAUCAGCAGUGGCCCCUGAACCCCUGGUGGUUGGGGAACACGCUUGUCUUAAUCACGCGCUGGGAGCCCCCUGCAAUGGCCAUGCCUCCCCGGGGGCACGGCACGCAGGGACCAGCACAGCGAGCGGCAGAUCCGAGGGCUCCCCUGAAGGAAGCCAGGCCGCCCCGGGGAGGGAGGAGCCUGGAGUGGGGCUGCGCGGGGGGCGGGGAGGACCGUGGAGCAGGGGGUCGGGGCGGAGGUGGACGGAGGGGG
RNAcentral lists this long non-coding RNA (3585 nucleotides) under Ovis aries (sheep). RNAcentral describes it as "lncRNA (ENSOARG00000025483.1)". Lineage: Eukaryota; Metazoa; Chordata; Mammalia; Artiodactyla; Bovidae. The record is from RNAcentral.